This 329-nucleotide ribosomal RNA is filed under the name Escherichia fergusonii. RNAcentral describes it as "bacterial SSU rRNA". It matches the Rfam family "Bacterial small subunit ribosomal RNA", at positions 1107 to 1436 of the family's 1533-position model. The record is from RNAcentral. Lineage: Bacteria; Pseudomonadati; Pseudomonadota; Gammaproteobacteria; Enterobacterales; Enterobacteriaceae.
AUCCUUUGUUGCCAGCGGUCCGGCCGGGAACUCAAAGGAGACUGCCAGUGAUAAACUGGAGGAAGGUGGGGAUGACGUCAAGUCAUCAUGGCCCUUACGACCAGGGCUACACACGUGCUACAAUGGCGCAUACAAAGAGAAGCGACCUCGCGAGAGCAAGCGGAUCUCAUAAAGUGCGUCGUAGUCCGGAUUGGAGUCUGCAACUCGACUCCAUGAAGUCGGAAUCGCUAGUAAUCGUGGAUCAGAAUGCCACGGUGAAUACGUUCCCGGGCCUUGUACACACCGCCCGUCACACCAUGGGAGUGGGUUGCAAAAGAAGUAGGUAGCUU